Molecule: ribosomal RNA, 253 nt
Filed under: uncultured bacterium
Lineage: Bacteria
Description: partial 16S ribosomal RNA
Rfam family: Bacterial small subunit ribosomal RNA
Source: RNAcentral
GACGAACCGAGCGAACGUUAUUCGGAAUCACUGGGCUUAAAGGGUGCGUAGGCGGGCGAGUAAGUCAGGGGUGAAAUCCCACGGCCCAACCGUGGAAGUGCCUCUGAUACUGCGAGUCUAGAGGGGGACAGGGGCAUGCGGAACUUCCGGUGGAGCGGUGAAAUGCGUAGAUAUCGGAAGGAACACCGGUGGCGAAAGCGGCGUGCUGGAUCCCUACUGACGCUGAGGCACGAAAGCCAGGGGAGCAAACGGG